RNAcentral lists this ribosomal RNA (869 nucleotides) under Bacillus subtilis. RNAcentral's name for it is "bacterial SSU rRNA". It matches the Rfam family "Bacterial small subunit ribosomal RNA", at positions 65 to 915 of the family's 1533-position model. Lineage: Bacteria; Bacillati; Bacillota; Bacilli; Caryophanales; Bacillaceae. The record is from RNAcentral.
AGCGGACAGAUGGGAGCUUGCUCCCUGAUGUUAGCGGCGGACGGGUGAGUAACACGUGGGUAACCUGCCUGUAAGACUGGGAUAACUCCGGGAAACCGGGGCUAAUACCGGAUGGUUGUUUGAACCGCAUGGUUCAAACAUAAAAGGUGGCUUCGGCUACCACUUACAGAUGGACCCGCGGCGCAUUAGCUAGUUGGUGAGGUAACGGCUCACCAAGGCAACGAUGCGUAGCCGACCUGAGAGGGUGAUCGGCCACACUGGGACUGAGACACGGCCCAGACUCCUACGGGAGGCAGCAGUAGGGAAUCUUCCGCAAUGGACGAAAGUCUGACGGAGCAACGCCGCGUGAGUGAUGAAGGUUUUCGGAUCGUAAAGCUCUGUUGUUAGGGAAGAACAAGUACCGUUCGAAUAGGGCGGUACCUUGACGGUACCUAACCAGAAAGCCACGGCUAACUACGUGCCAGCAGCCGCGGUAAUACGUAGGUGGCAAGCGUUGUCCGGAAUUAUUGGGCGUAAAGGGCUCGCAGGCGGUUUCUUAAGUCUGAUGUGAAAGCCCCCGGCUCAACCGGGGAGGGUCAUUGGAAACUGGGGAACUUGAGUGCAGAAGAGGAGAGUGGAAUUCCACGUGUAGCGGUGAGAUGCGUAGAGAUGUGGAGGAACACCAGUGGCGAAGGCGACUCUCUGGUCUGUAACUGACGCUGAGGAGCGAAAGCGUGGGGAGCGAACAGGAUUAGAUACCCUGGUAGUCCACGCCGUAAACGAUGAGUGCUAAGUGUUAGGGGGUUUCCGCCCCUUAGUGCUGCAGCUAACGCAUUAAGCACUCCGCCUGGGGAGUACGGUCGCAAGACUGAAACUCACAGGAAUUGACG